AUGCCCGGGGUCCUCCGCUUCGACCCACGCCGCGGCGAGACCACCCGCCCCAUGCUCCGCCUCGCGCUGCUCCUCGCCCUCAAUGCCGCCUACUCCGCCAUGGAGCUUGUCGUGGGCCUCCUCACGGGGCGCGUCGGCCUCGUCUUCGACGCCUUCCACCUCACCUUCGGCUGCGGCCUGCUCUCCUUCUCCCUCUUCGCCAUGGCCACCUCCCGGACCAAGCCCGACUCCACAUACACCUAUGGGUACAAGAGAUUGGAGGUCCUCACUGCCUUCACCAAUGCCGUAAUUCUGUCAAUUAAUCGUUUGGAAAGCCUACAUGCCCUCUUAGUUAACCAAAGACUGCUGCAUUGUUGCUUAUAUUUGAUACUACAUAAUGUGACUGGAGUUUAUUGUGAUUUGCUAUGGCAUUGUCAAUUUAACUUCCAUUUUUGGUGUUGA
RNAcentral lists this ribosomal RNA (441 nucleotides) under Triticum aestivum (bread wheat). Its description in RNAcentral is "partial small subunit ribosomal RNA". Lineage: Eukaryota; Viridiplantae; Streptophyta; Magnoliopsida; Poales; Poaceae. The record is from RNAcentral.